RNAcentral lists this ribosomal RNA (305 nucleotides) under uncultured bacterium. Its description in RNAcentral is "bacterial SSU rRNA". It matches the Rfam family "Bacterial small subunit ribosomal RNA", at positions 334 to 656 of the family's 1533-position model. The record is from RNAcentral.
CUUCCCUACGGGGGGCAGCAGUGGGGAAUAUUGCACAAUGGGGGAAACCCUGAUGCAGCGACGCCGCGUGAGUGAAGAAGUAUUUCGGUAUGUAAAGUUCUAUCAGCAGGGAAGAUAAUGACGGUACCUGACUAAGAAGCUCCGGCUAAAUACGUGCCAGCAGCCGCGGUAAUACGUAUGGAGCAAGCGUUAUCCGGAUUUACUGGGUGUAAAGGGAGCGUAGACGGCGAUGCAAGUCUGAAGUGAAAGCCCGGGGCUCAACCCCGGGACUGCUUUGGAAACUGUAUGGCUGGAGUGCUGGGGAG